CGGGUGAGUAACACGCAUCCAACCUGCCGUCUACUCUUGGACAGCCUUCUGAAAGGAAGAUUAAUCCAGGAUGGCAUCAUGAGUUCACAUGUCCGCAUGAUUAAAGGUAUUUUCCGGUAGACGAUGGGGAUGCGUUCCAUUAGAUAGUAGGCGGGGUAACGGCCCACCUAGUCUUCGAUGGAUAGGGGUUCUGAGAGGAAGGUCCCCCACAUUGGAACUGAGACACGGUCCAA
This 233-nucleotide ribosomal RNA is filed under the name uncultured bacterium. RNAcentral describes it as "partial 16S ribosomal RNA". It matches the Rfam family "Bacterial small subunit ribosomal RNA", at positions 103 to 334 of the family's 1533-position model. The record is from RNAcentral.